CCUGGCAACAGGAAGAUGAACCGGGCAUAAUCUGUCAUAAGGUUCCUGCCUACACAUGAAGUGGUACAAAGCUACUUAAAAAGGGUUAUAGACUACUUAGAAAUAUAUAGUGUUAACCCUAAGGUGACCACUAAAAUAUUUAAAAGUAUAAAUGAGACGCUACAAGAGGAAAUAAAAUGGAAUCAAAUAAAAUGCUCAGUUACAUCUAGAGAAGGGGGAGUUCCUGCCAUGCUCAGCAGAAAUAAAACUGGUGAGGACGAGGGUUUGAUCCCUGGUGUUGCUGUGAGCUAUGGUGUAGGUCACAGACAAGGCUCAGAUCUGGUGUUGUUGUUGCUAUAGUGUAGGCUGGUGACUACGGCUCUGAUUCAACCCCUUGGCUGGAAACUUCCAUAUGCCAUGGGUGCGGCCCUAAAAAGACAAAACAUAAAAAUAAAAAUAAAAACUAGAGAAGGGAAUACUUCACUUCCAGGAAGAUGGAUGGGGUGGGUGUACUUCUCCCUGUGCCUCUAAGUCCAACCAAAUCUCCUGGAUAGUCUAUGUAAACAAACAAGGAAACUCUGAAAGGUGAGAAGAGGAAGGCAGCUGGGGUGGGGACUUGGGACCCAAAGAAUUACAAAGCAGUGAGUUCUUUGGGUUUUCUUUACACUUCACAUAACCAACUGGGCACUAAAAAAGGUAGCACUUUAUGAGUGUAGCCAAAACAAGACCUCUCCCAAAGCCAAAGGAAUGGGGCAGUCUUGCAAGAUAGAACUUUCAGACAAUAACCACUCUGCCCCAGGCAACCACCACCACCACACACGCACGUGCACACACACACACACACACACAUGACUCUGGCCCAACUCCAAUACACCCCAGCGAAGGCUGAGUAGGGAACCUGUUCUUCCACUUCUCCUGUCCAUAAUGAGGCUGUGACCCACACCAUCCCCCCUCCUCGUACCCCUGCCAGAAUGAGUCAGAGAAAACCAGUUAACAUAAUAAGUUUAAAGAAUAUCUAGAAUUCAUAACAUAAUAGCCAAGAUGUUCUGGUUUCUAUUACACAAUCACUCAUCAUACAGAGAAUCAGAAAGAUCUCAAACUGAAUAAUAAUAGAUCACACCAAGAUGACAGAGAUUAGAAUUAUCUGAUCAAGAUUCUAAAGCAGCCAUCUGUAAAAUGCUUCAUGGAGUAAAAAUAAACAUGUGUGAAACAAAUUCAAAGAAAUAGAAAGUCUCAAAAAAGAAAUAGAAGAUAUAAAGGACACCCAAUUGGAAAUGUUAAAAUUCUAUUCUUGGAAUAAGUCCUACUUGAUCAUAGUAUAUAAUCUGGUCUAUGUGUUGUUGGAUUUGGGUUGCAAGUAUUUUGUUGAGAAUUUUCAUGCUUAUAUUCAUAAAAGAUAUUGGUCUGUUUUUUUCUUUUCUUGUGACGUUUUUGAUUUUAGUAUCAUAUAAAAUAGGUUUAUAGGAUGGCAGGAAAUUAUCCAUUAUAUAGUUUUUCUUUUUAUGUGUAUGAAGAUUUUGUGAAAGAUGGAUGUUAAUUCUUUAAAUUAUUGAUAGACCUGACCAGUGAGCUCAUCUCGCCCUGGAAUUUUCUUUGUGAGAAAAUUUUAGAUUAAUAAUUCAAUUCCUUUACUUACUUAUUAUAGAUCUGUUCAGAUUUUUUACUUCUUCUUGAUAGUUUGAAACAGUUUCAAUAGUUUGAAAAAUGUGUAUAGAUUAUUUAGAAAUAUAUAUAUUGGAAUUUGGUCAUGUCAUCAGGUCAAAUGGUUUCCUUAAACACACACCUUACCUUCUGUAAGGUCUAUAGUAAUGUCUCCCAUUUUAGUAUUGAUUUUAGUAUUUUGAGUCUUCUCCCCCCCUCUUUUUUUUCUUGGUCGAUCUAGCUAAACUGGAUUUUUUAAGAUGUCCUUCAUUAGAUUGAGAAAGUCUCCUUCUAUUCCUAAAUGUUUGAGUUGCUUUGUAUUUCUUUUUCAUCAUGGAUGGAUGUUGAAUUUUGUUAAAUGUUUUCUCUGCUUUUGUUGGAACAGUUUUCUCCUCAUCUACCACAGUCAGGAGAUGAUGGUGCAAAUACUACUGAAAAAUAUUCAGUGCUCUUCAGUAUAACUCAAAUAUAUGAAGGGAUUGUUCUGUCCAUUAUAAAUAUCAUAGUGGCAUUUUACCUUUUAACUUGUGUGCAUGUGCUCUUUUAAAUUUUGUAUUAAAAGAGAGGUGCAAAAUAGAUGCAUGCCACUUUUUUUCUAGGGAAAUAUCUAUUAUGAAUAUUAAUGAUAUCUAAAUAUAUCCAUAAAUUUAGAGAAAUGUAAUAAAAUCCAAUGUGAAUUUGGCAUGUGAGCUUGAGGAGAACAAACACUGGAGGAGAGCUCAGAAGAUUCUGGAGAGGAAGGAAAGGAAUCAGACUUAUUCCAUCAGAUGCUGAAAUGUAAAAUUACAGUGUAAAAUACAGAACUGACCCUGGAAGAGGUCAGAGAGAAGAGAUAGGCAGAUCAGUGGAAUAUAAGAAGAGCCAAGAAAUAAACAAGUAUGUGAGAAUGCCAGUUAUGAUAAAAGCGUCAUUUCAGAAUCAGUAGGGAAAAUGGAUUUUUAGAUAAACAUUUUGGUAAAUUUUUAAAAAAUAAUAAUAAAGCUCACUUUUUGGACCAUUCUUAAUAUUAAAAUAAGUUCCAGAUGGAUAAAAUAUUUAAAAGCGAAUAUAAAAUCAUGAAAGAAUGAAGAGUUAUUCAGAGUGAAAUCAUUCAUAAUGUUGAGAUCAAAUGAUUUCAAAACCAAAAAUUAUGAAGAAAAAGAAAAUGGUUCAAAUACAUAAAUUUUUUUUGCAAACAAAGAACAGUUAAAAGGGAAUCCACUUUAACACGUCUAAUCACCAAAGUAUUUAAGAACAAAUCUUUUCAACAUAUAAUAGAAAAUGGUUAAUUUCCUUAAUGUACAGAGUUUUUUUCAAACAGUAAGAACAAGAUGAGCACACCAAUUAAAAAAAAAGAGAGGAAGUCACGAGCAAACACUUAAAUGAAGAACAAACACUUGAAACGUUUUAGCCUCAGGCCUUAUCAAAGAACCACAAAUAAAAAUAUAUAUUAAUAAAAUAUGUGAAAACCAGGAUCAGUUUAAUAAGAAUUUGCAAGAUUGACAAAAGACCUUUUCCUUGAAAUAUUUCUCCUUAAUUUCUACUGGAUAAAUUCUAAAUUAUAGGUAACUGUGAAUCUUUCCUUUGUGUUUUCUUCUUUUGCUUUUGUAAAUCAAGUCCUUCUUUAUUCUGAAAUUAACAUUUGCUUGUAAUUCUUAUUGUUUCUUGAGAUAAUUUUUUUACAGAUAGCUCUUUAAUACAUUUAGAGUCUACUGUAGAUAUAAGGCACAAGCCUAAAAAAACUCAUUUCCAAAUGGUUUAUCAGUUGCCCAGUACUAUAUACCGUGCAAUCCUUCCCCCCCAAGUUGAUAAUGAAGCCGACUUUAUCACGCACUUUGGACAAGUCUUAGUGUGCUAGACUGUCUCCACCUAUACUUCAAUCUACAUCUGUUUUUGUCCAUGGAUUAAGAAGGUAAAGACCAGAGAAGGUAUGUGCUUUGCCCCAUGUCACACAGCUGAUGCAGGGUAGAGCUUGAGUGGGGCCCUCAUUCAUCCCCCGACCCCCAGCACAAUGUUCUUCUCCCUAUGCUACACUUCCUCUCAACCAGACUUUGAUGAAUCAACCCUUCCCCACCUGAACACCCCAAACUCCACUCGGAAGAAGUGACCCAUCCUGAGAGCAAUGGCCAGCCCUCCACCAUGCCUAGGGAAGAGUGUGACUUUAUUCUAAUUCCUGGUCCCUGUCUUGGGAAGUUGGGUCCCACAAGAGAAAGUCCACCUGGCUGGAGAAUCCAAGCACUGCUUCCUUCUCUCCCCAUGGGGGCCAGUGCCUAGGUCUUGAGCAGGAACAUGGGUAUUGAGCUCAGCCUGCCCGAGUUGGAAUCUGGCUCUGACCCUUCCUGUGGGAGUGGCCCUCUGUGCCUUGAUUCCUCUUGCAAAUGAAAACGAGAGUUCCUAACUCAGAGGGACUUUGUAAGGAUGAACAGGGCCCGUGAAUGUUAGCUAUAGAGAUAAUGUCCCUGUCUGUAUUCAGUUGGAGGAUCCGUGUCUACUCAAAUUUAUAUUGGUUCUUUUCACAGUUCCAGAUCUUCUUCUCUUCAGUUUUGAAAAGGGCGUCUUAGGGAGCUUGCUGUCAUGUUCUAACAAAACAAGCUCACUGAAAGCCAAGCUUUCCCUGCACACGUGUAGCAGGAUCACAGUGAGUGUGGCCAGUGGAGUUAUGGGUGCAGAUGGACUCCUGACUCCAGGGAAACAACACAGCCACAGAUGGGGCACUUCCUGUUUCCAAUGUGCUUGGGGAAAUGACCAUUUGGCUCAUGAAGAAAAUAUUUUUUUUAAUCUUAGUGGGUAGUGAAAAACAAUAAACAUCAGAGGCAGAAUAUGACUAUCACAGCAUUUUUGUCUCAUGAAAAAUUGAUUGGCUCCCCAGAUAUUGAUUAAACCUUCUACGGGCAGUGAUUCUCUAGACAAUAGAAAUCCUGGCAUAAAACGAGCAUGCAGGCAAAGUUCAUUUAUGGUCAGGGAGGUUUCACCAAAACAAGAUCCCGAUAUUGUGCUUCUCAAAACUGAAAUGCCUGAAACCCCUUCGGGGACAUUUAAAAAUUUUUUUUCUUUUUUUUUCCUUUUGAUCUGAGAACAAAUUGCUCAUGGAGCUACCAUUUCCUGUUGUUUCCUUGGUUUUCCUACCACUGAACAUGAGAGACAGUAUGAAGUUAGUUCAAGGUUCAUUUUACAAUCCCCUGCCCAGGUGUGUAUGGUCCAGAUGUGUGGAAUCUGCUUUCAACUUAUCAAUCAGAAAGUAAACCACCCACAAGGUGGAUCUCAUGUUUGAAUACCAGCUGAUGCCACCAACACACACCCAAAAAAUGCCUUCCCAGGCUAAGGUAGUCAAUCAAAAAAAAAAAAA
This 4945-nucleotide long non-coding RNA is filed under the name Sus scrofa (pig). Its description in RNAcentral is "lncRNA (ENSSSCG00015031631.1)". The record is from RNAcentral. Lineage: Eukaryota; Metazoa; Chordata; Mammalia; Artiodactyla; Suidae.